GACGAACGCUGGCGGCACGCCUAACACAUGCAAGUCGAACGGACUUCUCAUGAAGCUUGCGAUUGAGAAGUUAGUGGCGGACGGGUGAGUAACGCGUGGGCAACCUGCCCCUGAGCCCGGGAUAACAGUUCGAAAGGACUGCUAAGACCGGAUAUACUUGCGGGGAAGCAUUUCACUGCAAGGAAAGGGAACGCUCAGGGAUGGGCCCGCGUCCCAUUAGCUAGUUGGUGAGGUAACGGCCCACCAAGGCGACGAUGGGUAGCCGGCCUGAGAGGGUGAACGGCCACACUGGGACUGAGACACGGCCCAGACUCCUACGGGAGGCAGCAGUUGGGAAUCUUCGGCAAUGGGCGCAAGCCUGACCGAGCAACGCCGCGUGAGUGAUGAAGGUUUUCGGAUUGUAAAGCUCUGUCUUCCGGGACGAUAAUGACGGUACCGGAGGAGGAAGCCACGGCUAACUACGUG
Molecule: ribosomal RNA, 465 nt
Filed under: uncultured bacterium
Lineage: Bacteria
Description: bacterial SSU rRNA
Rfam family: Bacterial small subunit ribosomal RNA
Source: RNAcentral